AACGAACGCUGGCGGCGCGCCUAAUACAUGCAAGUCGAGCGAGAAGACGUAGCAAUACGUUUGUAAAGCGGCGAACGGGUGAGGAAUACAUGGGUAACCUACCCUCGAGUGGGGAAUAACUAGCCGAAAGGUUAGCUAAUACCGCGUACGCUCCUUGGACUUCGGUUCAGGGAGGAAAGCGAUACCGUGGGUAUCGCGCUCUUGGAUGGGCUCAUGUCCUAUCAGCUUGUUGGUGAGGUAACGGCUCACCAAGGCUUCGACGGGUAGCUGGUCUGAGAGGACGAUCAGCCACACUGGCACUGCGACACGGGCCAGACUCCUACGGGAGGCAGCAGUAGGGGAUAUUGCGCAAUGGGCGAGAGCCUGACGCAGCGACGCCGCGUGGGGGA
Molecule: ribosomal RNA, 389 nt
Filed under: uncultured bacterium
Lineage: Bacteria
Description: bacterial SSU rRNA
Rfam family: Bacterial small subunit ribosomal RNA
Source: RNAcentral